Coffea arabica (coffee) is the source of this 480-nucleotide non-coding RNA. The record is from RefSeq and is a predicted model, not a curated record. Lineage: Eukaryota; Viridiplantae; Streptophyta; Magnoliopsida; Gentianales; Rubiaceae.
AGAAAAGAGAUUGUGAAGGGCUCUGUCAAUGUCAGAUUCUGAUACCUUUUUCUGCAAAAAGGCUGAUUUGGUAUAGUUCAGCAGUUGGUUGCAGGUCGCACAAGUUUGUACUUUAAUGGACGGACAGCCCAUUCCUAUAUGAAUCCAAAACCUAGCCGCCAUAGUGGACCAGCUGGGAGCAGUAAUCCUGUUGUUUCCGGCAACGAGUCACUAUCAUUUUGGGCCCAGAAGCCAGCUAAUCUUGAAACGUCUGGGCCCAGACAAGUCUAAGUGAACAAAUCACCUCUGAGAGUCACGGGGCCUUUGGCGGGGUGGUCACCACCAAGAUUAUACAGUCCGGGUGGUGUGAAAGACCAAGAGUUCAACCCUUGUCUCCGACCAAAAUUUGCCACAACAUGUGGUGGUCUUAAAAAAAAAAAAAAUCAUCUCAGAGUGAAAGCCAUUUUCCCUCUCCUUUAAAAAUUUUUACGUUUUCCUUUC